AUUGACUAGCUUGAGUCCGACCGGAGAGCAUCAAGGCCCGCAGAGCCCGCGCUAAGUCUCGGCGGCGGCGCCCAGGGCUGAGCCGUGGUAGCCCUGGUGUUUAGAGGGUGUCUUCCUCUAGAAAGAGAAAAGUUUGGCAGUGAUUUGAUUUCAACUGGGGAUAGGAUGUAAAGCCAGGCGUGGGGAAUCACCGUAUACUUUGCAGAGAGAGGCAGCUGCGGUCUUCCUGGUGCCUUCUAGUCCACACACCAACCCACGUCGUCAGCUUACACACAGACACACACAGACACACACACACACACACACACACACACAAACACUGGGCCAAGGGAGUUGCGGAUUUUCUGACUCCUUGUGCACUCAUCUGGAGGUGCGGAGUGGGUGCGUGCGCGCGCAUGCGUGCGCGCGCCCGAGAGAGAGCGAGAGAGAGAGAGAGAGAGAGAGAGAGAGAGAGAGAGAGAGAGAGAGAGAGAGAGAGCGUGUGUGUGUGUGUGUGUGUGUGUGUGUGUGUGGUGUAUGUACGCGUUUUCUCACGGUGGGAUGUUUAUUUCGGUGAACGCCAGGAAAGUGCAGUGUUAGAGAUCUGUCUGUGCUAGCUAGCUCGGGAGCAAACACGCCGCAAGCAACUGUAAUCAAUAUGUAACUUUCUUCAUCCUCAGAGAAAUCCCCGCUGUCCCCAGGCACCCAUGCAAGGAAAGUCACUUGAUUAUGAAAGUGUUUCAGAAGAAAAGCAGACGCCGGUGGAGAGAGAGGCAGUGUCUCGAAGGAGGGAACAAGCCUCUCUUAAGACAUGUUUUGCAGCUCCAUGAAACUGAAAUCUGGUUGAACAGUGUUUAGACUUCUACCUUUUAACCAUCUCCUAUCACAGCCCACAUUCAAGCUUUAGAAUCUCAAAGCUUGCUUUUGUCUGAACUGCUUUCACAAACAUCCACAAGUUACGAUCAGUUUUGGUUCUGAUCUAGCAGUUCUGGAGCAGAGUUAAGAGGGACAAAGGAAAACAAUCCGUUGAAAUAGAGAAGUGACAGGCAGUGAAAGAUACUUCUUAGAAAAUGUUGACUCCUCUGGAAUAAAGCACUGCUAUGAGAAUUUUCCAGGUGGAUUGUUCCAAGGUUUCUUUCUCCCUUCACAAUGGCUAGUUGUUAUCUGUACUACUUCCUAUCUACGAAAGGAGGAAGCUUUUCUGGUGAUUGUUGAGAGAGAUACCGACCUAUGGAUAUAACAGAAUGUCCUUUAGGAGUCUCUUUAUUGCUAAGUUUCUUCAGCUUGGGCUCUUGGCUGUCUGAGCUCUGCCAAGGAUGGGUUUCAUUUGAGUAGAUAUGAAACUCAAUCAGAUUUGGUUGGUUAACCCACAAGCUUUGUGCUGCUAUUGAGUAAGCUCAUCUUGCAGAGAGAUCGCAUUGUAGGUACAAGAGUUUGCAGAAGGGUGGUUGUUUGUCUUUCUCUUUUUGUAAGUGCAGAGGAAUUGCCAGGACCAUGAACAGGUGAAAUAAUAGGUGAUGUAGGCUCUAGGUAGGUACAACCUUGACUUCUCCACCUUCAAUGAGUUACGCAGGUGGGGUUAUGGCAAUAAGGUCUUAUCUUCUGUCAGUUUGGGGAAAGCAAAAACCAAUGAAACAAGUUUCAUUGGCAUAACUCGUGUUUUUGGGGAGGGGAGAACCUGUGGGGAUCCUUGACUAACAAUUUAAUUAGAUAUAACCCAUUCACAGAGCUGGAAGCUUCACUUGGGGCAACUCUAUUUCCUGCUUUAGGCAUGAUUUUUCUUUGUACUAUUUUAGUUUUCCUUUUAGUUUUUGCUUUCAUUUAAAUUUAGCCUCAUGUUUUUAUGGGCAAAUAUUUAGCUGUUCUUUGUAAGCAGUAAUAUAUAGUAACUACGCUAUAAUGAAACUACUCCUAUGUGCAAAGAAAAUGGAGUUUUUCAACUUGGCCUAUAACAGGUCCAAACUUACAAGCUCCUUUAUCUGAUAGGUAAUUAACUUUUUUUCACCUUUUAAAAUGUAGUUUGGCAUCACUGAAAUGAUAUAUUUUGCAUGGAUAGAAAAGACCUAUGUCUAUAUAAUUAGUUACUUCUAUGGACAUUAAUCAGCCUUUUUCUAUAGAUACACAUUCCCACAUUUGUGAUACCCCCUGUAGAGAUGGUUUUCAUUAUGGAGACAGGUGUUACUCACCCCAGUGUUUACUCCUCACUGUAGCUAGUACUUCCUGUUUGUUACUUCCUAGUUUGCUUAGGUUCCUAUGGUGCUUAUUAAAUUCUGUAUGUCACAGAAUUUAGUGGUCACCAAUGGACUCCAAAGAUUUCUGUCAUGUGUGUUAUCCAAACUCUUGAUUUGUCUGCUUGUCAUACAGCCACUACUUACUUUUUCUUAAUUUUUUUCAAUUGUUGGAAUACAUUGUAUAUAUUUAUAUUAAGUAAAGUUUUUUCAGCAUUUAACACAUUAUUAUUAUUAGUGAGGAUAAUGAUGACACUGGAGAUCUAUUACUUUAAUAGUCAUCAUGCACACCAUAUUAUACAAUCCUAUGGCAUGUUACAACUGUGAUGUUCAUUUGGAACCAACUCUGCAGUCAAGGGAAAAAGAAAAAGAAGUAAACCCUGGAAUUUUAAACUACUACUAAUCUGCAUUUCCCUGACGGCAAAGGAUGCUGAACAUUUUGAAACUGUCUCCUAGUCAUUUGUAUUCCUUGUUCUAGAAAACUGGGUUUCGUCUAGACAUUCAGCCCAGGGGAUGACCCUCCCUCUCUUUAGAAGCAGGUUUUCUCUCCUUAAGCAGUUCUCCCCUUGCAAUGCCUUUGUAGAUACAUUCGGAGGUGUGCCUCAGUCUCUUAAGUCUUUCUACAUCUAGUCAGAUUAUAAAUAGCACAAGCAGAGAUGUUUGUCUUCAGGAUGAUGAGAGAAGUCUAAAAGAAGCAUGCCUUGUCUACACUGGCUUCUCCAUGUCAGAUUCUAGUGUCUUCAAUCCUUGCAACUGUCUCCUCCAUAUUAGAUUCUAGUUUAUAAACCCCAGGCAAAAUUGUGUUUUUAUUAUUUUUAAGUCACUAACUCUAUGGUAUUCUCUUAUGGGAGUCUCAGAGAUAGGAUAUAGGGCAAUGAUUUAAAAAUGUUUUAACAGACAUAAGGGCAAUUGCCUUUCUAAAAAUAAAUUCUGUCUCCGAGAUUCCAGUCUUCCACUGUCUACAAUGAACUUUUUGCAUGAUUUAGAAAUACUCCUGACACAAAUAACAGUAACAUAUAAGAUCAUUAUAUGUUUUAAAGCAAAGGCUUUCUCAGUAAGAUACUUAUUUUAACUGACAUAUGCCUGUGUCUUAAGGUUUUCACUGAUAAUAUUAUAUAUUUCAGGAAUUUAAUAGAGUAGAAUAUGCAUGCACACAAUUGUCUACUUUGAAGUUCAUUCAUAAUUCAGUAACAGUUUGUUAAUGCAAGAAGUUAAACAUUAAAACUGUCAACAUUAUAAUUUAUGUUUUCUUGUCUAAUAACAUUUUGUUCUUUAAUAACUAUAUUCAUUAACAUUUAAAAUUUCAUCUAUUAUUUUCACAUGUUUAAUAAUUUUCAGGAAGCUAUUCCCUUAACAUACUUUCUUAAAUGAUGGUGCCUUCUUUAUAAUAUUGAAAUGCUAAACAUAUAUACCUUCUGUUUCUUAUGUUUAAGUGAAUUUCCACUUUAUCUUAGCAGGAAAUUGUUAAAUAAUUAAAGCACCUUGUAAAAAUAUAAA
Mus musculus (house mouse) is the source of this 3704-nucleotide long non-coding RNA. RefSeq annotates it as predicted gene, 32498. The record is from RefSeq and is marked validated. NCBI's taxonomy places the organism in Eukaryota, Metazoa, Chordata, Mammalia, Rodentia, Muridae. The transcript has 4 exons.